Molecule: non-coding RNA, 101 nt
Filed under: Clunio marinus
Lineage: Eukaryota; Metazoa; Arthropoda; Insecta; Diptera; Chironomidae
Description: Eukaryotic small subunit ribosomal RNA
Rfam family: Eukaryotic small subunit ribosomal RNA
Source: Rfam by way of RNAcentral
CUCGUAAGCGUGAGUCACUAGCUUGUGUUGAAUACGUCCCUGAUCUUUGUCCCCACCGCCCGUCGCUACUACCGACGAGUUGCUUAGUGAGAUCUUUGGAG